CCAAGGAGUCUAACAUGUGCGCGAGUCGUCGGGUCUUGAACAGGCCCGCAGGCGAAAUGAAAGUGAAGGGCGACCUCGGCGUCGCCUGCGUUGGGAUCCCCGGUCCCCAGGGUCCGGGGCGCACCAACGGCCCGUCCCGUCCGCCACGUCGGUGGGACGGAGCGAGAGCGUACACGUUGGGACCCGAAAGAUGGUGAACU
The sequence is a ribosomal RNA, 200 nucleotides long. It matches the Rfam family "Eukaryotic large subunit ribosomal RNA", at positions 666 to 832 of the family's 3401-position model.